UAAUGUCUGGGAAACUGCCUGAUGGAGGGGGGAGUAACUACUGGAAACGGUAGCUAAUACCGCAUAACGUCGCAAGACCAAAGAGGGGGACCUUCGGGCCUCUUGCCAUCGGAUGUGCCCAGAUGGGAUUAGCUAGUAGGUGGGGUAACGGCUCACCUAGGCGAGGUCCCUAGCUGGUCUGAGAGGAUGACCAGCCACACUGGAACUGAGACACGGUCCAGACUCCUACGGGAGGCAGCAUG
RNAcentral lists this ribosomal RNA (242 nucleotides) under uncultured bacterium. RNAcentral's name for it is "partial 16S ribosomal RNA". It matches the Rfam family "Bacterial small subunit ribosomal RNA", at positions 111 to 353 of the family's 1533-position model. The record is from RNAcentral.